GGUUGUGUAGACUAAGCAAUUGAUUAAUUUGAUACAUUGGUACAAAGAAGUGAAAAUAAAGAAAGGCAGCUAACCAGCAUGAACUUAAAAUAAACAGACGGCUCAUGCUUUUCAUCAGGCAGAAGGAUUAAAGGUUGACGAGACCGGAUCAGUGCAGACCGCUCCUCAGCUGUCUUUUAACAUUAGAAACUGGACUGAAAUAAUUUCUUUCCCCCAACCAAGCUGAGGUCAUUGAACGUGAAUUUGCAAAAGGCCAUUUAUUUGUAUUGUCUAUAAGUUCUACACAAAUGUAUUGGCAAUUGGUUCUAAUUAAACAGUAUUGUAUAAGUGACCUGAUAACUUCAAUUAGCCAAAACAUUUUAAUAACUUUCUUGCCUUUUUUGAUCGGUAAGGACUGUGGAGAAUUUAAACUAGUGCAUACGUGUGAAUUCUUAAUUGUAAAUGAAACAAGCUACUUAAUGGCUUUUAAUUACCGUAUUAAGUCUCAGUUUAUAUUUUUAAUUGCCCAUUUCUAAUACACCAAUAGGACAGUCAACGUGUAAUUAAACUCAGUGGGGUAUUGGUUCUAGAGAUACAGUUGGUGCUUUAAUGUUUGUGUCACUGAAACUAUUACAUUUACAAUGUAAUGGGUUUGAUUGGAAUGGAGAAACAGGUGUUCUGAGAUAGAUAUGAAUGUGGCCCAAAACUUUUGUAAAUGACAGAGUAAUGUAUUGUCAAAGGUUGGACACCCCAGAUGGGAUACUAUUUGGAAUGCCAGUACUGAAAGGUACAACUUUAAGCUAAUGUUGAUGGAAAGCCAAAAUAAGUCUUUUUUGUUGUUGUUAUCUUUUUUAAAAGAUUUCAUUUUUAACCAUGGCCUUGUCUGUGUGUGCAUAUUGCAUAUUUGAAUGAAGGCAGAAGAGGGAGCCAGACUUCCAAGUCUUGGACUUUGGACUGUUUUGAGCCUACCCACAUGAGUGGUAGGAACCAAACUGGGGAACUCUCUGAGCAGUAAACUCUCUCUUAACUGCUAAGCCUUCCCUACAUACAGCCUUGCUGUGCUCUUCUAAAAGUUUGUUUGUGUGCCUAGCUUCCUUUACAUUUGUAUUGAGUUGUAGAGGUGAUUUUAGGAUUUACAAUUGGCUCAGUGGCUAUUACUUUAAGGCCUUUUAAAAGCAGAAGCUCUUGAGGACUAAGCAAACUUUUAUGCAUCCCCUAUCCUCUACAGUGAUAGACAAUCAUAUACUCCUUUAGUUUGAGGAUAAAGAUUUCUUUUGAAAGAAACCUUUUCACCUGUAUUCUGGAAAGCUUGACUUAAUGGUCCUACAGCUCUGUAUAAGUUCACUUUUCCUAGAAAUUUAUUAUGUGACAAAAUUGAACACAGAAUAUUCUCAAUUAUCCUUAAAUGCAAAAAUAUGAUAGUCUGAGCUAUGAAAAUUAUACCGAAUAAGUUAUCAAGUCAGAAUAGUAGGUAUUGUACCCAGACUAUUUUUUUUUAAUGUAUUUAUUUCAGUCUUCCCCAAAAAGUUUCUUUUAUGGUGUUUUUAACAUUUUCUGUUUCUUUUCUAAACAGAAUCUAGGACAGAGAUAAUACUUUUAGACCCCCUGAGGAUGUUUUAAUGUAACACUGUCCCAAAGAGAGCACGUGUUUAGGGUGAAAACAAGUUGAGAAACUUGAUACAGAAAAGGGCUUAUGAAAGUUAGAAAUUCUAAUUGACAAAAAGAGCUUUUAUUUUUAUUAACGUUUUCUAAGUGGAGCUCUCUGAAAGAAAGUAAUGAAAUCUUGGGUGGUAAUACGUACACAAAAAGAAAAUAAAGCAGGGUAAACAGAGUAUUCACAAUGAAGAUGCAGCCACAUCAUAGAAGUCAUAUAUUUUCAGCAGUAGAAGUUUAAUAGAAUUACCCACUACAUUAAGCAUAUGGAAAUAGCCAACUCAGAAGACUACAAGACAGCCACUGUUGAGAGAGAUAAGAUCCCUUCUCACAUGACUAAGAUGCAAACCUUUAGGGAAAGUAUGUUUAUGUGUUACCGAGUGACAAAAAAAAGUCACUUAUGCGAUGCUAUUGGAACAGAACUGAAAAUCUGCAAAACAGAGAGGCUGUUUCCUUAGUCGGUUUCCAUUGCUGUGAUGAACAAAGGCAGCUUAGGGAGAGGAUUUGUUUGGCUUCUGUAUCCCUGGUGCUGGCCAUUCAUUGUGGGACUUGCACAGGAACACAGGUAGGCACCUGGAGGUAGGAACUGAGGCUGAAGCCUUACAGAAACACUGCUAACUGGCCUGCUCUCUGUGGCUUCCUCUUCAUGGUCUCUUACAGCAGUCAGGGCUGUCUGUCUGCCCAGGAGAGGCAUUGUCCUCCCUCAGUAAACUGGGCCCUUCCAUUUCAAAGGUCAACCAAGAAAAUUCAUACAACUUGCCUAGAGGUCAUUCGAGGGCAUUUUCUCAAUUGAGGCUCCCCUGUCAC
Molecule: long non-coding RNA, 2439 nt
Filed under: Mus musculus (house mouse)
Lineage: Eukaryota; Metazoa; Chordata; Mammalia; Rodentia; Muridae
Description: long non-coding RNA chr10:57487853-57490292
Source: RNAcentral